This 628-nucleotide ribosomal RNA is filed under the name uncultured bacterium. RNAcentral's name for it is "bacterial SSU rRNA". It matches the Rfam family "Bacterial small subunit ribosomal RNA", at positions 869 to 1499 of the family's 1533-position model. The record is from RNAcentral.
UCGCUUGGGAAGGUACGGUCGCAAGACUAAACUCAAAGGAAUGACGGGGCGCACAGCGGUGGAUUAUGUGGUUAAUUCCGAAGCACGCCGCCAGAACCUUACCUAGGUUUGAAAUCCUGAGAAUCACCCGAAAAGGUGGAGUGUCCUUCGGGGAAUUCAGUGACAGGCGCUGCAUGGCUGUCGUCAGCUCGUGUCGUGAGAUGUUGGGUUAAGUCUCGCAACGAGCGCAACCCCUAUUUUUAGUUGCCAGCAUUAAGUUGGGCACUCUAAAGAAACUGCCUGGGUUAACCAGGAGGAAGGUGGGGAUGACGUCAAGUCCUCAUGGCCCUUAUACCUAGGGCUACACACGUAAUACAAUGGCCAGUACAAGGGGAAGCGAACCCGCGAGGGCAAGCAAAUCUCUAAAAGCUGGUCUCAGUCCGGAUUGGAGUCUGCAACUCGACUCCAUGAAGUUGGAAUCGCUAGUAAUCGUGGAUCAGCACGCCACGGUGAAUACGUUCCCGGGCCUUGUACACACCGCCCGUCACACCAUGGGAGUUGGUUUUACCUGAAGUCGUGGCCCUAACUGCUUGCAGAGGGGAGCGCCUACGGUCGAACUGAUGACUGGGGUGAAGUCGUAACAAGGUAA